Molecule: unclassified non-coding RNA, 381 nt
Filed under: soil metagenome
Description: partial contains 5.8S ribosomal RNA, internal transcribed spacer 2, and large subunit ribosomal RNA
Rfam family: 5.8S ribosomal RNA (bases 1-120)
Source: RNAcentral
GAUGAAGAACGUAGCGAAAUGCGAUAAGUAAUGUGAAUUGCAGAAUUCAGUGAAUCAUCGAAUCUUUGAACGCAUCUUGCGCUCCUUGGUAUUCUGAGGAGCAUGCCUGUUUGAGUGUCAUUUUGAACUCUCAAAGCCCACGUUUUGACGUGGCUUUGGACUUGAGGGCUUUUGCAGGCUUUUGAUCAGAAAGCCUGCUCCCUUGAAAAUCAUCAGUGGUAUCUGGAGCGGAAACCGCUAGGUGUUGAUAACAUUUCAUCUAUGCCUUUGGGUAUGCCGCGUAAAAUGUGCUGCUUCCAACCACCCCAUGCUCUUUGACAAACUUGACCUCAAAUCAGGUGGGACUACCCGCUGAACUUAAGCAUAUCAAUAAGCGGAGGA